GUUGACCAUGCCGGCACUCUGGGCUCAGGCUGUCAGUCUCCAGACCCGGAGAAAGAAUUUUCUGUCCUGUAUGAUGGAGACUCCUGACCUUCCCCACUAUCCUCUCUCCUGGCCACUCUCCAGUUCCCUUUAGUGGUUUCCCCUCAUCUUCUCAUGGUUCAGAUGUUCGCACCUUAGUCCUGGGACCUCUUCUCUGCCACUCCUUGCUGAUUUCAUCAGUCUUAUGGCUCUGAAUAGCUAGCUAGUGACUACUGCAGUCUCCUAGAUCCAACUGCCUGUGUGACAUGUUUGUGCAGAGCAUCUAAUGUCUAAUGAGCAUCUCAAACUGAACAUAUUCAAAGUGCAUUCCUCAUUCCGCAGACUCUGCUCCUGCUGUCUCCAUCUCAUUGAAUGGAACUCUUUCUUUUAGUAGCUCAGGCUAUAAACAUUAAAGUCAUCCUUGACCGUCUCACUCCACGUCCAAGCUAAUUAGUAAAUCUUACAGGAUGCACCUUCGGAAUACAUCCAGAAACAAAGAUUUCUCACUACCCCUACUGUUGCCACCCUAGUCCAGACAACCAUUGUCUUUCACUCAGAUCUUAGUUCUCAAAAUGUGGUUAACAGAUUCUUAGUGAUUCCCUUGCCGGCAAUCCAGAAAAGCAAAACUAUUUUUGCCAUAGUACUAAGAUACUCUUUCACAAUAUUGACAUUUGUACCAUGGUACAAAAAAUAAUGGUAAAAUUGCUGGUCCCUCCCACAAUUAAGGGCACCAAACUAUACUAAUGGCCAUUGUAUAUCAUCACAUACACUCUUUAUCCCUGAUAGAGCAUUAAAAAACAUAAAUUUUAUUAAAUCUUGAUCAUUAAGUUUAUGUCUUUCUGAUAUUCUAUAUGAUGCCGACAAAGCAUUUUUGCUGCAUACUGAAAUAAUAUCUUUCUCUGGGACAAUUGAAUUGAGAGCUGAACUAAAUACAUUUUGUAUGGAACAUCAUUUUCACUUAAUAGAAUGAC
RNAcentral lists this long non-coding RNA (989 nucleotides) under Marmota monax (woodchuck). The record is from RNAcentral. Lineage: Eukaryota; Metazoa; Chordata; Mammalia; Rodentia; Sciuridae.